This 452-nucleotide ribosomal RNA is filed under the name uncultured bacterium. RNAcentral's name for it is "bacterial SSU rRNA". It matches the Rfam family "Bacterial small subunit ribosomal RNA", at positions 335 to 799 of the family's 1533-position model. The record is from RNAcentral.
ACUCCUACGGGAGGCAGCAGUGGGGGAAUCUUGGACAAUGGGGGCGAAACCCUGAUCCAGCCAUGCCGCGUGAGUGAUGAAGGCCUUAGGGUCGUAAAGCUCUUUCGCCUGUGAAGAUAAUGACGGUAGCAGGUAAAGAAACCCCGGCUAACUCCGUGCCAGCAGCCGCGGUAAUACGGAGGGGGUUAGCGUUGUUCGGAAUUACUGGGGCGUAAAGCGCACGUAGGCGGAUCGGAAAGUUGGGGGUGAAAUCCCGGGGCUCAACCCCGGAACUGCCUCCAAAACUAUCGGUCUAGAGUUCGAGAGAGGUGAGUGGAAUUCCGAGUGUAGAGGUGAAAUUCGUAGAUAUUCGGAGGAACACCAGUGGCGAAGGCGGCUCACUGGCUCGAUACUGACGCUGAGGUGCGAAAGUGUGGGGAGCAAACAGGAUUAGAUACCCUGGUAGGACAGUG